Molecule: long non-coding RNA, 336 nt
Filed under: Myripristis murdjan (pinecone soldierfish)
Lineage: Eukaryota; Metazoa; Chordata; Actinopteri; Holocentriformes; Holocentridae
Description: lncRNA (ENSMMDG00005007537.1)
Source: RNAcentral
CGACUGGGCCCUUAUCUCCACCACUCUGGCCAAAACGGAACUAUUACAAGAGAAGGAGGGAGACACAACAGAGUAAGACAGAAAAGGGUCAAACUUCUGGCUAAUUCUGAGAACAAGGCUUCAGAGACACAAUGGAUAUCACCAUGAGGUCUAAGAGUAACCAGGAUUGACUCACAGGCAGCAUGACUGAGGUUCCAGGAGGUCCAGGGACUCCAUCAGCUCCAGGCAGACCAGGCUUACCAGAAGGACCCUGCAGGGAGGAGAGACGGAGGGGAUCACCAACAGAGCCAGGAGGUCCAGAGGAGCCAGCGGGGCCAGUGGGACCCUGGAGGAGAA